RNAcentral lists this long non-coding RNA (1031 nucleotides) under Zea mays. RNAcentral's name for it is "long non-coding RNA (ZMAY_LNC004035)". The record is from RNAcentral. Lineage: Eukaryota; Viridiplantae; Streptophyta; Magnoliopsida; Poales; Poaceae.
AAUACUAAAAACGACGAUGGUGUCACGAUAUUGUUACCCACUAUUGUUGCAUGUUCCCUCCCAUGCUUGGAGGUCCUAAUCGAGGUCUGUAGUAUAAUAUGAUAAGUAAAACAUGUGUAUUCCCUCUGCUAUACCUUCUUACUUCACUGUCAUUUUCUACUAAGACCUUUGGCUCUUGGCACACAAGUCAAACUCAUCACUGAUAUCUUGCACGAUCUAUUUGAUUUUAUUUUUGAAAUUGACCUUUGCACCCACAAAGAUACAUUCGUUUCUAUGAUUCCAUAUCCACCAUGCUACCAAAUGAUCAACAAAUUAAAUCCCCUAUGAUAUUGUUGAGACCUUGGUUCCCCUUUCAUACGAGUUAGACACACACUUCUUGUAUUUUUUGUAAGUUUACAGGUGUUAUGUAGCCUUUUGAACAUUUAUUAUAAAACUAUGUUCAUGAUUUGUUGUGUGAUCACAAACAACUCUGGGAGUCAGGGACUACGCCACUACCGAGAGCUCCGGGAGGGAUAUUGCUGGCCAACGGCGGCCAGGCGAUCGCCUCCAUGGCAUGGAAGCUUGAGGGGUCAUGUCCAUUAGGGAGAGCAGAGGAGAUCCGAUGAGUCCAUUCUCUAGAGUCCAGACUCCAGACUAGGAUAGAACAAGGCUGAGGCAUCCAGUUUCAUCAGUUCAUCACGUCAGUUACCAGGCGCACGCCACAUGGCUGAUUACCAAGGUGGGCCUUUCCUAUCCUCUUCACACCUUUCUUGAUGCAGUGUCAAUCUUUAAAUAAUCUCGACAUAUAUCUUCUCCUUUCAUUUUCUAUGCUAGAGUUACCUUCAUUCGAUAUAUUUUUUCCUUUUAUUUAUCUUUGCUUCAAACAAAUAUAUUAUUUUCUAAAGUACUGACUUUUUGUGUCCUGUAAAAGUAAAACCUAUUUGAAUAGUCAAAUCUUAGUUGUAUCUAUAACAAGAUGAAAGUGGUGGCAGCCAAGAUGAAAGUGGUGGUGGCCGCAUCAAAGGAGAAGGUGCAACAAGACGAACCGAAAG